ACCCAAUAGAUACCCAGGUAGUCCACGCCGUAAACGAUGUGUGCUAGCCGUCGGGGGUUAGGCUCUCGGUGGCGCCGCUAAACGCAUUAAGCACACCGCCUGGGGAGUACGGCCGCAAGGUUAAACUCAAAGGAAUUGACGGGGGCCCGCACAAGCGGUGGAGCAUGUGGUUUAAUUCGAAAGCAACGCGCAGAACCUUACCAGCCCUUGACAUGGGGAGUAUGGGCCUGAGAGAUCGGGGUCCUUCAGUUCGGCUGGCUCCCGCACAGGUGCUGCAUGGCUGUCGUCAGCUCGUGUCGUGAGAUGUUGGGUUAAGUCCCGCAACGAGCGCAACCCUCGUCCCUAGUUGCCAGCGAUCCGGUCGGGCACUCUAGGGAAACUGCCGGUGACAAGCCGGAGGAAGGCGGGGAUGACGUCAAGUCCUCAUGGCCCUUACGGGCUGGGCUACACACGUGCUACAAUGGCGGUGACAGUGGGCAGCGACCCCGCGAGGUAAGCCAAUCCCCAAAAGCCGUCUCAGUUCGGAUUGCACU
RNAcentral lists this ribosomal RNA (533 nucleotides) under uncultured bacterium. RNAcentral's name for it is "bacterial SSU rRNA". It matches the Rfam family "Bacterial small subunit ribosomal RNA", at positions 771 to 1304 of the family's 1533-position model. The record is from RNAcentral.